Molecule: long non-coding RNA, 439 nt
Organism: Oncorhynchus masou masou (cherry salmon)
Lineage: Eukaryota; Metazoa; Chordata; Actinopteri; Salmoniformes; Salmonidae
Exons: 3
Source: RefSeq, a predicted model, not a curated record
GACGAACGGCGGAUGGAGAGAUUGGAGAGACUUCCAAACCACUUGAGACCUGGGGAGAGAGCGCAAGAUUUCCUUACUGUAUCCACUGUUGCCAUGGCUCAUUUGAUAUCCUGAUACAUUGGUGUUCUAUGGUUGCAGUUGUAAAUGAGAACUUGUUCUCAACUGGCCUACCUGAUUAUUAAACAAAGGAAAUGGCUUCCUGAAAUCCCUCAAGCAGCUGAUUGGUCGACUCCAUGGCUAAUUGGAGAGCUGACCCCGCCCCCUCGUCAAGACGCAUCUGUCUCCAAUUACCUAUUCCUUCUGAAGCUAUAUAAAAGCCAGUGUUCUGUUCAGGAGAGGGAGCCAUUGCAGAGGGAGCCAUUGCAGAGGGAUUGAAUGUGAGGGAGGUCAUUGCUGAGAGAGGAGGCUGAUGGCUGUGGAUAAUUUACUAUGUUAGUUG